Sarcophilus harrisii (Tasmanian devil) is the source of this 884-nucleotide long non-coding RNA. RefSeq lists it as uncharacterized. Lineage: Eukaryota; Metazoa; Chordata; Mammalia; Dasyuromorphia; Dasyuridae. The transcript has 3 exons. The record is from RefSeq and is a predicted model, not a curated record.
CUGGAAGCCUCAGCGCAGGCGCAGAGGCAAACUAACUGGGCGGGAAAAGGAAGAGGAAGAGGAAGACUCUAGGGCCUGAUUGGAGGAAAAGGAGGAAGUACAGUACCGUUUGGGAUAUGGGGGCGGGGCUGACUCCGUACUUCUCUUGGCUUUUUUUCUGCUUUACUUGAGCCCCGCCUAUCGGGGAAAGCCCUGGGCGGAGUCAGAUUUCUCCCUGAGGAUGUUUGACGUGGCGUAGGAGUAGAUAGAAAGGUGUCCACUAACCCCACCCCCCAAAAAAAAAAAAAAAAGGGGAAUCGAAUCAAGUUCUAGGCAACUUUUUAAACCAAAAGUUUCAGAGAAGAUUUCUACCUGCAUUGGUGGAAGGAGCGCCUCCUACGGGAGUUUCCUAUAUCAAUGAGAUCCUGGGUCCAGUCUCUGACCUCGAUUAAUGCAGGAGGUGGGGCCUCAGAGUCUAUCCAAGUGCAUCCUCCUCAUUUUACAGAUGGGGAAACAGAUUGAGCGAGGUUGUGAUUUAUCACGCAGGUGAAGGAGACAGAACGAUCCUGUGAAAUUUGAAAGGUUGGAGGAGCCACACUGGAUUUUGUGUGAGAAGACUUUAUGACAAAGACCGUUGUGGCUACCUUAGCCAAGCUACAAAAAAUACCAACACAACUCUGAGAAGUGAACUUUGGAAGUCUGUCCAAAUCAACCUGGCAGCUGAGAAAAGAAGAGAGGAGAGAACAUGGAGGUAACUAAUGUAGACGGCUUUCUUUAGAAGUUUAACCAAGAAAUGGAGGAACUUUUAAGGUAAAGCUAACAGGGUUGGUAGAAAGUUUUUGCUAUUGUUUUAAGGAUGGACAAGACAUGAAUGUAUCUCUCUAGACAGCAGAGGAGGGGGGCAC